This 344-nucleotide unclassified non-coding RNA is filed under the name soil metagenome. RNAcentral describes it as "partial contains 5.8S ribosomal RNA, internal transcribed spacer 2, and large subunit ribosomal RNA". The stretch from base 1 to 119 matches the Rfam family "5.8S ribosomal RNA", at positions 35 to 154 of the family's 154-position model. The record is from RNAcentral.
GAUGAAGAACGCAGCGAAAUGCGAUACGUAAUGUGAAUUGCAAAUUCAGUGAAUCAUCGAGUCUUUGAACGCACAUUGCGCCCCCUGGUAUUCCGGGGGGCAUGCCUGUCCGAGCGUCAUUGCUGCCCUCAAGCACGGCUUGUGUGUUGGGCCCCGUCCUCCGAUCCCGGGGGACGGGCCCGAAAGGCAGCGGCGGCACCGCGUCCGGUCCUCGAGCGUAUGGGGCUUUGUCACCCGCUCUGUAGGCCCGGCCGGCGCUUGCCGAUCAACCCAAAUUUUUAUCCAGGUUGACCUCGGAUCAGGUAGGGAUACCCGCUGAACUUAAGCAUAUCAAUAAGGGAGGA